This 256-nucleotide ribosomal RNA is filed under the name uncultured Gardnerella sp. RNAcentral's name for it is "partial 16S ribosomal RNA". It matches the Rfam family "Bacterial small subunit ribosomal RNA", at positions 99 to 354 of the family's 1533-position model. The record is from RNAcentral. Lineage: Bacteria; Bacillati; Actinomycetota; Actinomycetes; Bifidobacteriales; Bifidobacteriaceae.
CGAACGGGUGAGUAAUGCGUGACCAACCUGCCCCGUGCUCCAGAAUAGCUCUUGGAAACGGGUGGUAAUGCUGGAUGCUCCAACUUGACGCAUGUCUUGUUGGGAAAGUGUUUAGUGGCAUGGGAUGGGGUCGCGUCCUAUCAGCUUGUAGGCGGGGUAAUGGCCCACCUAGGCUUCGACGGGUAGCCGGCCUGAGAGGGCGGACGGCCACAUUGGGACUGAGAUACGGCCCAGACUCCUACGGGAGGCAGCAGAA